This 1500-nucleotide long non-coding RNA is filed under the name Bos mutus (wild yak). RNAcentral describes it as "lncRNA (ENSBMUG00000013102.1)". Lineage: Eukaryota; Metazoa; Chordata; Mammalia; Artiodactyla; Bovidae. The record is from RNAcentral.
GUGAGGAGGCGAGCAUUGAGUUGUCCAGGAGGAGGGACUUUGGCUAAAAAUAGCUAUGGCGUGUGGAUCAGCCUCUAGUGGUACCCAGGACUGGGGAGGGGAGGGGGAUGCUCUAGAGCUGUCGCCAGACUGGUUGCUGUGGAAACAGGAGAGGAGCAGGGGAGCCUGGGAAGUGGGGAUGACACAGAUAGCAAGUCCUAGUCAGAGCUGCCGCUACAUUUAGGAGAAACAGCAGUGCUUGCGGCUCCCACCCUCCAGGGGUGCUUGGGGUGAGGGGGAGGCGGUGUCAGGGGCAUGGACGCUACCCCCCAGGGGUCUCUGCUGCCGGCUACUCUCCUCUCCACACGCUGGGUCCCUAGAUGCCUAUGGAAGGGCUCUGGGUCUCUCUGUCUCAGGGCAGAUUGCAGUCCAGAGAGAGAGCUGCUCACAGGGAAGAAUUUAAAGCAAAAUCAGGUAGGCUUCUCUUGGAAUGUGAGAUCUGGGACAUAUGGAGGGGGGCUGUUGUGAGGAUAGUCAAGGGAGGUGGGAGGCUGGGGUGGGGAGAGAACUGAAGGGAGGAGAGAGGUAAAUGUGGGUGCUUCAAUCACUUAUCUGAGUUAAAGGCUCAUCAGGAGUAGGUUGCUAGAGGGUUACAAGCCUAAUCUUGAUGAACUUUGUGCUUCUUUUACCCUGGCUGUCCGUGUUGAUCUCACAUCCUCCGACCCUCCUGCCCGUUUGCAGGCUGUCUCCACUGUGGAAAUAACCCAGGGGAAAUGGGGCUAACGCUACAGCUGCAAUGACCAGCGUCAGUCCUCAGGGAGAAUUCUCAGUGGGAAUUUCCUAAGGUGGGAAUGUUCAACCUUUGCCCACUGGAGAUUUUUCACUCGCUUUCCACCACUUUCAUUUCUCCUUUGUAAGCUUCUUGAGAGGAAGAAGAUGUGUGGCGAGGGGGGUUGGGAGUAGAGUAAGCAAGGUCCAAAGAGGGAGAAAUGGGAAAGACUUUCUGCGUCAAUUUCCUGGUGAAUGGUAAAAGAGCCUGGUUAGCCGGCAGGCUGAAGGCGGAGAUCAGGAAUAAGGAGACUGCCUGACUUUAGCCUGGGUGGUGUGGAAGUGGGAGGCCUUUGGGCAGGGAGGGCUCUGCCCUGGAGAGGAAGAUGAACCACCAGCUUUCAAGAAGCUCACAGCGUACAGAUCUCAGGAAACUCCCUUCUUGCCCAGGGCCUUUUGCCUGAGGGUGGCCAUGAGGUGCUGUACAGCCCCGUUAGAGGCAGUGGGACCAAGAUCUCUGUUACCACGCCCUGCCCUUUCCUUCUAAAAUAAUCAGUCAUGCAGAGUGCGAUCCAGUUCAUACACCCUAUCCCACUGGAUCCUCACGAUUUUGUGAGCUGCGGGUGGGGCCAGCUAGGGCUGUGUGUAUCGUUCCCAUUCUACCGAUGCGGCAAGCCGAGGCCGAGAGGCAGCAAGGGACUCGCACAGGGCCACCCGGCCCCUGCGCGCAGGCCCGGACGUCUCGGCCUCUCU